UUCUCCCCAUUACAGCAAAGAAAGCUAGGGAUUGAGUUUCAAAAUUGUAAAAUUACUAAAUGGAACACGUUAAAAAACAGUUCAGCAAAAAACAAUUGCAUAGUAUUUGCUUUUUAUCUCCCUUGAAUUCAUUUUGUGUGUCAUGAUGAAUGCCUCUUCAACUUUCUAUGUGUGUACCCAACCAUCAAAUUUAAAAUUAAAAACCAAUGGAUAAUGGUCCGACACAUCUCUCGAAAGCACCCAAAGAGCCCCCCCCCCCCCCCCGCAUUAAAAUAGUCUAAAAUGCACCAUACUCCUCCCCCAAACUUCUUCUAGCCUCCAUACACAUUGAUUACAUAACAUCUUAUUCUUUGAACUCCUCGAUCCAAACAUACCCGCACAAAACCUUCAGCAGCAAACGUGAAAUUUAAUCUAGAAUUGACUUUAUUCCACAAAAAUAGGAUACAUCCACUAUUUCCUUCCGACGGAGGAAAGGACCGCUCACAAUCCUCGCUCCCCCAUAAAUUAUAGCAAAAAUUAGGUGUAAUAACCUUCAUCUUCGUUUCUCGAAGAGCCAAAAAAUAAACUUUAUGAACCCUCACCAACUCUCUAACUUUAUUCCUCUUCAAAACACCCCCAAUCCUCUUAUAUUGAAAGUUGUAAUAAUCAUUGGUCAUCAUUUUCCAUCUACCUAAUUACCUUAUGCUUCACAGUAAUCUCUUCCAUAAUGUACUCCUAACAGUUUGUUUGCAAGAUUUUCACACCACUGAUUUACCAAAUAAUUAAACUUCCUAAUUACCCUUGCAUUUAACCAACACCAGUCUUGAAUUUUAACCUCCUCAACGAUGCUCUUCAAAUUAUGAUAAAUGUAUGCAGUAAGUAACCAGUCACAACCACUUCAAUAUCUCUUCAUGACAACCUCUAACACAAACUUAAGACAAACAAUGACAUCCUCUCACAACUCAGUUUCAAUUCUCUGUGAAAAUGUUCAUCCGCAAAACAAAUAAAAUUCAGUUCGUCUUUACUGAUUCGAUUCUUAUACUUAUUACACAUACAUACAUCAACAACACAAUGAAAAUUCAACCUAAAAGCUGACUCGGAUAAUCAUAAGUCUGAUACUAAGCACGAUAAAAUUGCACGAACUUUUGGGAAAAUGGAGACCAAAUGAGCCAUUUAGCAAAACACUCUGGACUCUUGAAGCAUUCAUUCUUUGCCUGCAGUAUCUUAGAUUUCACCCUGGACAUCUACAAUAAAUGGAAACGGGGUAUUUUUGGAAAUUUUGCAGGGCGCACGAGAAGGCAGCAGGGUGGGAAAAGUAAUAGUCUUAUAUAAAUGGGUUAGAGUGGGUCGGCUAACUUGAUUUAUGGGCUACUAAAAAUGAGCCCAGUCCAAUGGGGAAGCCCGAUCCAUAUUUCAAAAUGUAUUAUUUUAUUUUAUUUUCAAAAAAAUAAGAGCAAUGAAUAAUAAAGCUACAUAUCUAAUCUUUUUUUAAUAGAAACAUAUCACAUAAGUUAUCACCCAUCAAA
Molecule: long non-coding RNA, 1505 nt
Organism: Medicago truncatula (barrel medic)
Lineage: Eukaryota; Viridiplantae; Streptophyta; Magnoliopsida; Fabales; Fabaceae
Exons: 3
Source: RefSeq, a predicted model, not a curated record